Molecule: long non-coding RNA, 954 nt
Organism: Molossus molossus (Pallas's mastiff bat)
Lineage: Eukaryota; Metazoa; Chordata; Mammalia; Chiroptera; Molossidae
Exons: 4
Source: RefSeq, a predicted model, not a curated record
AGGCAACCUUAUAGCCCUGUGGGAGCUGAGCCGGUCAGAUCUGAUGAGCGUUCUGUUACCCGACAGCCUGGUACUUGAAGUCUGGCAAGCUCCGCCCACACCUCCACCUGAGCCCAGGCUGUUGGAGGAGGGGCUGGCAUGCAGAAGAGCAACCAAAGAAAACGGAGACACCAAACUCCACACAGCAAGCUGCCGUUCCCUAUGAAAAUGCUGUACGGUGAGUAUAACACAGGUGGGGAUUCUACGCACCUUUCAUGCAAUAUCUCAUUUAAUCAUCCCAACAACAAUGGAGAUGGGACCCUUAUUAAAACCCAAAUUGAAUAGAGAUGAAGACUGAGGCACAGAGAAGUUAAAUUACUGGCACAACAUCACGUGGCUGGUAAAUUAAGGAGACCAAAGCAGUGCUCAUCGAAUUCCAGACCUAUCAGAAGUUCAAGAGAUUGAGAAAUGAUCUCACGAUGGAUUUUAAAUGGCCAUUAUCUGGAGAUGAAGAGCAGUGUAAAGAUUAAGAAGUGUUUGGAGCAUAAAAAUCUGAAUUCAAACCCUAACUAUGCCACUUACUGCUAUUGAUCAGAGUGGCAUUCAUAACUUCGCAGUCAAAAUACAUGAUGUCAUCAUCUUUUCAAAGCACACUGAAGGCUCCAAUCUUUUUGGAGAUUGUCUACGUGAUGCCUCAGUAUUACAGCUCUUACUGAUUUUUUUCAGUGUUUUUUCUUAUCACUUCUUCAGUCCUCAAUUUUGUAACAAAAUUGGCUUUUCUUAUGCUUCAGCAAGCAAAAUGCAAAAUUCUGAAAAGCUCUUCUGUGACUUGGUGGGAGAAUAGUGUUGCUUAAACCACUGGGACCGCAGUGGUUCAGACGAUCAUACUGCUCCACCGCCUGCGGAAACACGCAUGCAGGUGACAUCACCUCUUGCGAAGUGACAGCAGGACAUGCACAGCACGCAGGCACUUAA